UAAUACGUAGGGGGCAAGCGUUGUCCGGAAUUAUUGGGCGUAAAGCGCGCGCAGGCGGUCAUGUAAGUCUGGUGUUUAAUCCCGGGGCUCAACCCCGGAUCGCACUGGAAACUGUGUGACUUGAGUGCAGAAGAGGAGAGUGGAAUUCCACGUGUAGCGGUGAAAUGCGUAGAGAUGUGGAGGAACACCAGUGGCGAAGGCGACUCUCUGGGCUGUAACUGACGCUGAGGCGCGAAAGCGUGGGGAGCAAACAGGAUUAGAUACCCUGGUAGUCCACGCCGUAAACGAUGAGUGCUAGGUGUUAGGGGUUUCGAUACCCUUGGUGCCGAAGUUAACACAUUAAGCACUCCGCCUGGGGAGUACGGUCGCAAGACUGAAACUCAAAGGAAUUGACGG
This 396-nucleotide ribosomal RNA is filed under the name uncultured bacterium. RNAcentral's name for it is "bacterial SSU rRNA". It matches the Rfam family "Bacterial small subunit ribosomal RNA", at positions 521 to 916 of the family's 1533-position model. The record is from RNAcentral.